AUUGAACGCUGGCGGCAUGCUUUACACAUGCAAGUCGAACGGCAGCGCGGGCUUCGGCCUGGCGGCGAGUGGCGAACGGGUGAGUAAUAUAUCGGAACGUACCCAAGAGUGGGGGAUAACGUAGCGAAAGUUACGCUAAUACCGCAUACGAUCUAAGGAUGAAAGCAGGGGAUCGCAAGACCUUGUGCUCCUGGAGCGGCCGAUAUCUGAUUAGCUAGUUGGUGAGGUAAAGGCUCACCAAGGCAACGAUCAGUAGCUGGUCUGAGAGGACGACCAGCCACACUGGAACUGAGACACGGUCCAGACUCCUACGGGAGGCAGCAGUGGGGAAUUUUGGACAAUGGGGGCAACCCUGAUCCAGCAAUGCCGCGUGAGUGAAGAAGGCC
Molecule: ribosomal RNA, 386 nt
Filed under: uncultured bacterium
Lineage: Bacteria
Description: bacterial SSU rRNA
Rfam family: Bacterial small subunit ribosomal RNA
Source: RNAcentral